ACCAUCUGACACAAAGGUGAGAUUCCCCAUCCGGAAGAAGGAAGAAGGACCAUCUUUUACUGUAGCAGAACAAGAAAUAGCAAGCAGCUAGCAAAACACUGAAGGUGUGUCUAAGACCAUAAAUGAUCCUUUUAACUCACACAGCCAGUCUGCCCACAGACAACUCUGGAGACACAACAAUCCUGGCUGCGUUUGUUCUGAAGAUCUUGAAUGAGCUGCAUCACCAAAGGGUGACUCGCAACCAUGCAGCAGCUUCUCACCUGCCUGAUGGUGCUGCUCGGCGUAGGAAAGCCCAGAGCACCAGCUACGGGAUGUUGAUCACUGCAGCUGAUGGGGGAUGAAGGCUCUGAGCAUGAGGGCAGCCAGGAGGGACCCUCAGAGAGAGCCUGGGUCUCUAAGGGGCUGGGAUGAAGCCCCUGGGCUGGUGGGACAAAGCUCCUGGCCUUCUUGGGCAAGAUAUGAGGGAAAGCACUGAGCUGGAGAGAGCAGCUGAGCUCCCCCAGCCACACACCACAGAAACUGAGAAAAACCUCCUUCAGCCCCUGCUGUAGCACUGCUGAUGGCUUCAGGAGACGGAGCCAUGCUGAAGGAACAUAAAAUUCCUCCCACCAGCUCCCUGCUGCAAGUCUGGCAAUAAAUAAGAAACUAAACCCCGUCCUGGGAGUCCUUUCAUUGAGCUGCAAUUCGUUUUGCAUGGAGCAGCUCCACAGUCCCCCCGGCAGGCUCCCUUUGAACGUGCCCCUACACUAAAUCAGCUUUCCCAUGACCAGCCCUGACCGCUGGCUGCUCCCACCAUCCCUGUUUUAUUCCCCAGGAAUAUUUUCCAGGGCAGCAUUUGUCAAACCACCCUUCCUAACACCCCCAAACAACACAGUUUGGGUUAGCAAUGCCACGCAGCAAGGAGAUGGGGGUGUCUUUAGCCUCAGCGGGUUUUUGUACCAUUUUGCCUGCCUUGGAAGGGGCACAGUGGCAGGAGCCUGCUGGGCUUGCCAGAGACCCUGUACUUAUCAGGUGUUCCCCUCAUGGUGUGUCACAGGGGACAUGACAGAAGAUACCCAAAGCUGCCCCAUUUUCCAUCUCCAACCGCCCCACGUCUCCCUGCCGUGGGAGGGGCUGCAGCCCCCGCGCCUGCAGACCUGCAGUGCUCCCUCAAAUCUCCAGGUGCACUUUCAGCUCUGAAACUCAAAGAUUUCUCUAACUGGCAACCUGCAAGAUGCAAAAACGACCAUCUGGACAGGGGAUGUUGGUCCCAGAUACGACAUGAACAAGAUACAUAACUGAUGCCUCCAUGACCAGCAAAGGACAGGCCUGACUUAUCCACCCUCAAAAUGCAGAUAAAGAAAACAUGUCAAAGACAUGUGUGCACUUGAUCUUUCAGAAAGCCCAGUCUUUUGCUGUGCAGCUUGCUUCUUGUGUCUCAAGGCACUGAAAAAA
This is a long non-coding RNA of Athene cunicularia (burrowing owl), 1434 nucleotides long. RefSeq lists it as uncharacterized. The record is from RefSeq and is a predicted model, not a curated record. NCBI's taxonomy places the organism in Eukaryota, Metazoa, Chordata, Aves, Strigiformes, Strigidae. The transcript has 2 exons.